This 1142-nucleotide long non-coding RNA is filed under the name Anser brachyrhynchus (Pink-footed goose). Its description in RNAcentral is "lncRNA (ENSABRG00000009000.1)". Lineage: Eukaryota; Metazoa; Chordata; Aves; Anseriformes; Anatidae. The record is from RNAcentral.
GGUGUUUUGCCAAAAAGCAGAUAAGCAUAGUGAAGUGGCUCAGGUUAAAUUUGGCUAUAACUAUGCAUUUAUAUUGAAAGCUGCGCUUCUUCAUCAGGGAAAGAAAUAAGAGAAAGCAGAAAUUCUGACUGCCCACUACCUACUGCUAUUAUCUCUCCCUCCCCUUCUAGUGCCAAGGAUUUGUGUUGACAAAAGCAUGAAGAAAGACUGUGUAAAUACCUUCCAUUUACAAAUAAAUAGAAAGGCAUAGAUACCUCUUCAAAGGGCAAGUCAUCUCCUGUUGGAUGGCUGUAGAGGGGAUGAGAGGAGUUACCUUUUAGAAAUGUUGAUUUAUUUCCAAUUGGUGUAAUGGGCAGAUGUGGUUAUUAGCUUAAAUUUACACAUUCUUUAAAUAUUUCAGUUCUUUGAAUGGAAAAUCUUUGUAUUUUUUGGUGACAUCUUAUCAACAAACUCAUGAAGGAAGCUUCAAAUUUAUAAGAUCCUGACCCAAUCCCAUUAUUCGGCAAAUGCUUCUUUCCAUUGGUUUCUUUUCCAUGAUAUCUCAAUAAACAAUGUUUUUUCUUAGCUCAACCUCAAGAUACAUGGAGAACAUUAUUACUGGGAAAGGCGAAAGUUUGUUUUCCAACUAUGGACUCAAAGUGGGCUGAAGGCAAGAGCAAACUGAGUGUAUACUAUCUGCAAGGCUGUGGUAGCUUGCUGGUCAUAGUAAACACUACCUCUGAAGAUGGAUGGAAACCAGAAGUUACCUUAGUUUUGGCAUGAACAUGAACAAGUCUUCACUGAUUGAGGAAUUUGACACACGGCUUUUAAACAAUAUUCCAUUCACACUACAGGUAAGUAUCUCUCCGGUAUUUGGGAUCCUAAGGAUCUUAACUGCUGAGUUGAAAUACAUCGGAUGAAAAUUCCGAGGAAGUGGCAAUUUGAAAUCUAUUUCCUUGUAGGAUGGGAGAUAUGAAUACCUUGGUGACAGGGAGCAAGUCUUGAUAUUGGGGUUCAAAUGCUAAUCAGCUACUCGUCUUCAGGAGCAGCCUGUGAGACAGCAAGCAGAAGACACUUGUGUUGUUGGCAUAUAAGGCCAAAUCUAGGGCAGGAAUCCAGUCUGCUGCCAUCAUCAUGGAUGUGGCCUUGCAAACUGAAAACGU